Molecule: ribosomal RNA, 402 nt
Filed under: uncultured bacterium
Lineage: Bacteria
Description: bacterial SSU rRNA
Rfam family: Bacterial small subunit ribosomal RNA
Source: RNAcentral
CGAGGAAUAUUGCACACUGGACGCAAGUCUGAUGCAGUAACGCCGCGUGGGGGAAGAAGACCUUCGGGUUGUAAACCUCUUUUUGUAAAGACGAGUGAGGACGGUAUUUAUAGAAUAAGUCUCGGCUAACUACGUGCCAGCAGCCGCGGUAAGACGUAGGAGGCGAGCGUUAUCCGGAUUUACUGGGCGUAAAGCGCAUGUAGGCGGUUCGCUAAGUCCGCUGUUAAAGCCCCCGGCUCAACUGGGGGAGGUCAGUGGAGACUAUCGGACUUGAGGGCAACAGAGGCACGUGGAACUCCCGGUGUAGCGGUGGAAUGCGUAGAGAUCGGGAAGAACACCAGUGGCGAAGGCGACGUGCUGGGUUGCACCUGACGCUGAGAUGCGAAAGUGUGGGGAGCAAAC